AGUGAACGCUGGCGGUAGGCCUAACACAUGCAAGUCGAACGGCAGCACAGUAAGAGCUUGCUCUUACGGGUGGCGAGUGGCGGACGGGUGAGGAAUAUAUCGGAAUCUACUUUUUCGUGGGGGUUAACGUAGGGAAACUUACGCUAAUACCGCAUACGACCUACGGGUGAAAGCAGGGGAUCUUCGGACCUUGCGCGAUUGAAUGAGCCGAUGUCGGAUUAGCUAGUUGGCGGGGUAAAGGCCCACCAAGGCGACGAUCCGUAGCUGGUCUGAGAGGAUGAUCGGCCGCACUGGAGCUGGGACACGGACCAGACUCCUACGGGAGGCAGCAGUGGGGAAUAUUGGACAAUGGGCGCAAGCCUGAUCCAGCCAUACCGCGUGGGUGACGAAGGCCUUCGGGUUGUAAAGCCCUUUUGUUGGGAAAGAAAAGCAGCAGGUUAAUACCCCGCUGUUCUGACGGUACCCAAAGAAUAAGCACCGGCUAACUUCGUG
RNAcentral lists this ribosomal RNA (492 nucleotides) under uncultured bacterium. RNAcentral describes it as "partial 16S ribosomal RNA". It matches the Rfam family "Bacterial small subunit ribosomal RNA", at positions 29 to 507 of the family's 1533-position model. The record is from RNAcentral.